GAUGAACGCUGGCGGCGUGCCUAAUACAUGCAAGUCGAGCGAACAGACGCGGAGCUUGCUCCUCUGACGUUAGCGGCGGAAGGGUGAGUAACACGUGGAUACUCCACCUAUACGACUGGGAAAACUUCGGGAAACCGGAGCUAAUACCGGAUAACCUGUUGAACCGCAUGGUUCAACAGUGAAAGACGGUCUUGCUGUCACUUAUAGAUGGCUCCGCGCCGCAUUAGCUAGUUGGUAAGGUAACGGGUUAACAAGGCAACGAUUCGUAGCCGACCUGAGAGGGUGAUGGGCCACACUGGGACGGGUGCUCGUUCCAGACUCCUACGGGAUGCAACAGUAGAGAAUCUACCGCAAUAGGCGAAAGCCUGACGGAACAACGCCGCGUGAGUGAAGAAGGUCAUCGGAGCGUAAAACACUGUUAUUAGAGAAGAACAAAUGUGUAAGUAGCUAGGCACGUCUUGACGGUACCUAAUCAGAAAGCUACGGCUAACUACGUA
Molecule: ribosomal RNA, 497 nt
Filed under: uncultured bacterium
Lineage: Bacteria
Description: partial 16S ribosomal RNA
Rfam family: Bacterial small subunit ribosomal RNA
Source: RNAcentral